Molecule: long non-coding RNA, 871 nt
Organism: Daphnia pulicaria
Lineage: Eukaryota; Metazoa; Arthropoda; Branchiopoda; Diplostraca; Daphniidae
Exons: 3
Source: RefSeq, a predicted model, not a curated record
ACAGAAUAAAAAAUUGACUAGGCUUACACAACUGAAGAAACAACAGCCACAUUUUUGUUUUCACGACGAAACAAGGUGAAUAUCACAGAAACAGAAGGACCGAACCAGCUUGUAAUUCAGCCGGUGGAAAAACAUAUUGGCAACGAGCAGUGCCCUCAACUUUCUCCCGUGAGCCGUGACUACACCUAACCGCCAUAAGAUUCAAAAUUACGAAUUUAUUUAUGUUUUAGGCAGAACAUACAGCGAAGAUAAAAGGAUUUUGAAUUUUUUAAAUUUGCAUACGCAGUUAGUGGCCGACAUUUUAAGGUAUUUAGUGACUCACAGGCGGCCUGUAACAUUGCUCUGUCUUUCGUGCAUGCAUAUUCGGUACUAUCCGGAAUUCACCUGGAAGGCUGGAACCUUUAGUGCUGAAUGUCAACAACAACAAUAGUGCUCACGCUAGUACGAUAUCAUUAGGUAAUCAAUAGUCCUGUACUUUUUAAGUUUUUAGGCCAUCGACUUAUUUCAGUUUUUGGCUUGGGCAAUUUCUUCAUGGCGCUAGUUGUAUACGGCUUCCGGUUAGCACAUUCCCGCCACCAGACUGAUUCCUCUUGGACUUGGUCACCACGUCGUGGAAGCAGAGGUGAAAAUAGGGGAAAAUAAUAAACUUGUCUUCGGGGUUGGGGAAGUAACGAGGAAGAAGUGGGGUCGGAGAGGGUUAUAUUUUAUUGAAUACUGAUGUGGUAGUAGAUGGUGAUAAACCUUUUUAUUAUCCCAUACACAUCCACUUAUGCAACCAUACUUCAAAAUGAAAAAUGCCCUUAUUAACCUAUAACUGAACAUUAAUCCACCUAUCAAUCCAUUCCUCCAAUACCAUAUUGUUAUAUAACUA